This 67-nucleotide microRNA precursor is filed under the name Bombyx mori (domestic silkworm). RNAcentral's name for it is "mir-2774 microRNA precursor family". It matches the Rfam family "mir-2774 microRNA precursor family". Lineage: Eukaryota; Metazoa; Arthropoda; Insecta; Lepidoptera; Bombycidae. The record is from Rfam by way of RNAcentral.
ACAACAUUCAGAGCGUCGGUCUACCGAGCAAUAUCAGCCACUCGGUGGAAGAUCAUCGUCUUAUCGU